GCUGGAGUAGCUCGGUUAGUUAGAGCAUGUGGCUGUUAACCACAAGGUCGAAGGUUCAAGCCGCUUCUCUAGCG
This 74-nucleotide transfer RNA is filed under the name Spirodela intermedia. RNAcentral's name for it is "tRNA-Asn". It matches the Rfam family "tRNA". Rfam says of the family: Transfer RNA (tRNA) molecules are approximately 80 nucleotides in length. Their secondary structure includes four short double-helical elements and three loops (D, anti-codon, and T loops). Further hydrogen bonds mediate the characteristic L-shaped molecular structure. tRNAs have two regions of fundamental functional importance: the anti-codon, which is responsible for specific mRNA codon recognition, and the 3' end, to which the tRNAs corresponding amino acid is attached (by aminoacyl-tRNA synthetases). tRNAs cope with the degeneracy of the genetic code in two manners: having more than one tRNA (with a specific anti-codon) for a particular amino acid; and 'wobble' base-pairing, i.e. permitting non-standard base-pairing at the 3rd anti-codon position. The record is from RNAcentral. Lineage: Eukaryota; Viridiplantae; Streptophyta; Magnoliopsida; Alismatales; Araceae.